UUAUAUAGUUUAAAUCAAAACAUUACAUUUUCAUUGUAAUAAUAAAAAUAUUAAUAUUUUUAUAAAUA
This 68-nucleotide transfer RNA is filed under the name Junonia sophia. Its description in RNAcentral is "tRNA-Glu". The record is from RNAcentral. Lineage: Eukaryota; Metazoa; Arthropoda; Insecta; Lepidoptera; Nymphalidae.